This 1043-nucleotide ribosomal RNA is filed under the name uncultured archaeon. RNAcentral describes it as "bacterial SSU rRNA". It matches the Rfam family "Archaeal small subunit ribosomal RNA", at positions 1 to 1054 of the family's 1478-position model. The record is from RNAcentral.
UCCGGUUGAUCCUGCCAGAGGCCACUGCUAUCGGAGUUCGAUUAAGCCAUGCGAGUCGAGAGGUGUAAGACCUCGGCAUACUGCUCAGUAACACGUGGACAACCUACCCUGAAGAGGGGGAUAACCCCGGGAAACUGGGGAUAAUACCCCAUAGGCUAUGGAUGCUGGAAUGCUCUGUAGUUGAAAGGUCCGCCGCUUCAGGAUGGGUCUGCGGCCGAUUAGGUUGUUGUUGGGGUAACGGCCCAACAAGCCUGUAAUCGGUACGGGUUGUGGGAGCAAGAGCCCGGAGAUGGAUUCUGAGACACGAAUCCAGGCCCUACGGGGCGCAGCAGGCGCGAAAACUUUACAAUGCGAGCAAUCGUGAUAAGGGAACUCCGAGUGCCCGUAAAAUCGGGCUGUCCGCCAGUGUAAAUAACUGGUGAAGAAAGGGCCGGGCAAGACCGGUGCCAGCCGCCGCGGUAAUACCGGCGGCUCGAGUGGUGGCCACUAUUACUGGGCUUAAAGCGUUCGUAGCUGGUCUGUUAAGUCUCUGGGGAAAUCUUCCGGCUUAACCGGAAGGCGUCUCAGGGAUACUGGCAGACUAGGGACCGGAAGAGGUGAGAGGUACUCCAGGGGUAGGAGUGAAAUCCUGUAAUCCUUGGGGGACCACCUGUGGCGAAGGCGUCUCACCAGGACGGCUCCGACAGUGAGGAACGAAAGCUGGGGGAGCAAACCGGAUUAGAUACCCGGGUAGUCCCAGCUGUAAACGAUGCGCGUUAGGUGUAUCGGUGACCACGAGUCACCGAGGUGCCGAAGAGAAAUCGUGAAACGCGCCGCCUGGGAAGUACGGUCGCAAGGCUGAAACUUAAAGGAAUUGGCGGGGGAGCACCACAACGGGUGGAGCCUGCGGUUUAAUCGGACUCAACGCCGGGAAACUCACCGGACAAGACAGCUGAAUGAUAGUCGGGCUGAAGACUCUACUUGACUAGCUGAGAGGAGGUGCAUGGCCGUCGUCAGUUCGUACUGUGAAGCAUCCUGUUAAGUCAGGCAACGAGCGAGACCCA